GAAAAAAAGUACGUACAAGCAGUGGGAGCACGCUUAGGCGUGUGACUGCGUACCUUUUGUAUAAUGGGUCAGCGACUUAUAUUCUGUAGCAAGGUUAACCGAAUAGGGGAGCCGAAGGGAAACCGAGUCUUAACUGGGCGUUAAGUUGCAGGGUAUAGACCCGAAACCAGGUGAUCUAGCCAUGAGCAGGUUGAAGGUUGGGUAACACUAACU
This 213-nucleotide ribosomal RNA is filed under the name Bacillus cereus. RNAcentral describes it as "partial 23S ribosomal RNA". It matches the Rfam family "Bacterial large subunit ribosomal RNA", at positions 552 to 767 of the family's 2925-position model. The record is from RNAcentral. Lineage: Bacteria; Bacillati; Bacillota; Bacilli; Caryophanales; Bacillaceae.